This 250-nucleotide ribosomal RNA is filed under the name uncultured prokaryote. Its description in RNAcentral is "partial 16S ribosomal RNA". It matches the Rfam family "Bacterial small subunit ribosomal RNA", at positions 524 to 773 of the family's 1533-position model. The record is from RNAcentral.
UACGGAAGGUCCUGGCGUUAUCCGGAUUUAUUGGGUUUAAAGGGAGCGCAGGCUGAGGCUUAAGCGUGACGUGAAAUGUAGAUGCUCAACAUCUGAACUGCGUCGCGAACUGGGUUUCUUGAGUGAGUACGACGUGGACGGAAUUCGUGGUGUAGCGGUGAAAUGCUUAGAUAUCACGAAGAACCCCGAUUGCGAAGGCAGUCCACGAGUCCUUUACUGACGCUAAUGCUCGAAGGUGCGGGUAUCGAAC